This 863-nucleotide ribosomal RNA is filed under the name uncultured prokaryote. RNAcentral's name for it is "bacterial SSU rRNA". It matches the Rfam family "Archaeal small subunit ribosomal RNA", at positions 1 to 870 of the family's 1478-position model. The record is from RNAcentral.
UUCCGGUUGAUCCUGCCGGACCUGACUGCUAUCGGAUUGAUACUAAGCCAUGCGAGUCUUUGCAGUAAUGCAAGGCAUACGGCUCAGUAACACGUAGUCAACCUACCCUAUGGACGAGAAUAAUCUCGGGAAACUGAGCAUAAUUCUUGAUAGAUCAUAAUGCCUGGAAUGGUUUAUGGUUAAAAUGAUUCGUCGCCAUAGGAUGGGACUGCGGCCUAUCAGCUUGUUGGUGAGGUAAUGGCCCACCAAGGCGAUUACAGGUACGGGCUCUGAGAGGAGAAGCCCGGAGAUGGGUACUGAGACACGGACCCAGGCCCUAUGGGGCGCAGCAGGCGAGAAAACUUUGCAAUGUGCGAAAGCACGACAAGGUUAAUCCGAGUGAUUUCUGCUAAAGAAAUCUUUUGCCAGUCGUAAAACCGCUGGUGAAUAAGGGGUGGGCAAGUUCUGGUGUCAGCCGCCGCGGUAAAACCAGCACCUCAAGUGGUCAGGAUGAUUAUUGGGCCUAAAGCAUCCGUAGCCGGCUUUGUAAGUUUUCGGUUAAAUCCAUGUGCUCAACGCAUGGGCUGCCGAAAAUACUGCAUAGCUAGGGAGUGGGAGAGGUAGACGGUACUCAGUAGGUAGGGGUAAAAUCCUUUGAUCUAUUGAUGACCACCUGUGGCGAAGGCGGUCUACCAGAACACGUUCGACGGUGAGGGAUGAAAGCUGGGGGAGCAAACCGGAUUAGAUACCCGGGUAGUCCCAGCUGUAAACGAUGCAGACUAGAUGAUGCAUUGGCAUAAUAGCCAUUGCAGUGUCUCAGGGAAGCCGUUAAGUCUGCCGCCUGGGAAGUACGUACGCAAGUAUGAAACUUAAAGGAAUUGGCG